AGGGUUCGAUUCUGGCUCAGGAUGAACGCUAGCGGCAGGCUUAACACAUGCAAGUCGAGGGGCAGCGGGAUGUAGCAAUACAUUGCCGGCGACCGGCGGAUGGGUGCGUAACGCGUAUGCAACCUACCUUAUACAGGGGAAUAACCUUUCGAAAGGGAGACUAACACCCCAUAGUAUUGAUUUAAGGCAUCUUAGAUUAAUUAAAUAUUUAUAGGUAUAAGAUGGGCAUGCGUAUGAUUAGCUAGUUGGUAAGGUAACGGCUUACCAAGGCGACGAUCAUUAGGGGUUCUGAGAGGAAGGUCCCCCACACUGGUACUGAGACACGGACCAGACUCCUACGGGAGGCAGCAGUGAGGAAUAUUGGUCAAUGGGCGCAAGCCUGAACCAGCCAUGCCGCGUGCAGGAAAGACGGCCUUAUGGGUUGUAAACUGCUUUUACAUAAGACUAACCGUAUAUUUGCGAAUAUACCUGAAUGUAUUAUGAGAAUAAGGAUCGGCCAACUCCGUGCCAGCCGCAGC
Molecule: ribosomal RNA, 518 nt
Filed under: uncultured bacterium
Lineage: Bacteria
Description: bacterial SSU rRNA
Rfam family: Bacterial small subunit ribosomal RNA
Source: RNAcentral